AGGACGAACGCUGGCGGCGUGCUUAACACAUGCAAGUCGAGCGGUAAGGCCUUUCGGGGUACACGAGCGGCGAACGGGUGAGUAACACGUGGGUGAUCUGCCCUGCACUUCGGGAUAAGCCUGGGAAACUGGGUCUAAUACCGGAUAUGACCUCCUAUCGCAUGGUGGGUGGUGGAAAG
Molecule: ribosomal RNA, 179 nt
Filed under: uncultured soil bacterium
Lineage: Bacteria
Description: partial 16S ribosomal RNA
Rfam family: Bacterial small subunit ribosomal RNA
Source: RNAcentral